ACGGAAGGCAGCAGUGAGGAAUAUUGGUCAAUGGACGGAAGUCUGAACCAGCCAUGCCGCGUGAAGGAAUAAGGCCCUAUGGGUCGUAAACUUCUUUUGUGGUGGAGCAAUAAGGUGCACGUGUGCAUCGAUGAGAGUACAUCACGAAUAAGCAUCGGCUAACUCCGUGCCAGCAGCCGCGGUAAUACGGAGGAUGCGAGCGUUAUCCGGAUUUAUUGGGUUUAAAGGGUGCGUAGGCUGUUCUUCAAGUCAGAGGUGAAAUACCGGGGCUCAACCCUGGAACUGCCUUUGAUACUGGAGGGCUUGAAUACUGUUGCCAUGGGAGGAAUGAGUAGUGUAGCGGUGAAAUGCAUAGAUAUUACUCAGAACACCGAUUGCGAAGGCAUCUCACGAAGCAGCGAUUGACGCUGAGGCACGAAAGCGUGGGGAUCAAACAGGAUUAGAUACCCUGGUA
RNAcentral lists this ribosomal RNA (454 nucleotides) under uncultured Rikenellaceae bacterium. RNAcentral describes it as "partial 16S ribosomal RNA". It matches the Rfam family "Bacterial small subunit ribosomal RNA", at positions 341 to 792 of the family's 1533-position model. The record is from RNAcentral. Lineage: Bacteria; Pseudomonadati; Bacteroidota; Bacteroidia; Bacteroidales; Rikenellaceae.